Otolemur garnettii (small-eared galago) is the source of this 107-nucleotide small nuclear RNA. Lineage: Eukaryota; Metazoa; Chordata; Mammalia; Primates; Galagidae. The record is from Ensembl.
GUACUUGCCUGGGCAGUACAUAUAUUAAAAUUGGAACAAUACGGAGAAGAUUAUCAUGGCCCCUGUAUAAGGAUGAUAAACAAAUUCAUGAAGUAUUCCAUAUUUUA